Long non-coding RNA from Osmia bicornis bicornis, 401 nucleotides. RefSeq lists it as uncharacterized. The record is from RefSeq and is a predicted model, not a curated record. Lineage: Eukaryota; Metazoa; Arthropoda; Insecta; Hymenoptera; Megachilidae. The transcript is spliced from 3 exons.
AGUUUGACAGGAAGAUGAAUCAACAAAGGAUAAUGCUUCCACUGGUAUGGAACAAUCAGAGCCCAUCCACUCUUUUGUACAAAUGCAACUGAAAUGAUUAGUAUUUUAUAAGUAAACGAGGGCUAGAACUGGUUAUUGGAUAAAUUGCAGUUUCUGUUCGUAAUUCAAUAUCAAAUAUACAACCAGAAAAUCCAGUAUGAAGAGGCAAAUCAUGGGUUGCUGUCGUUGUUAUAGCAUUCAAAGGGAUGCUUGUAAAUAUUCUACGAACACCUAUAAAGCAUUCUCAUGAAAUAUAUAUAUAAGUAAAAGAGGAAUAAGCUAAUUAAAAUACUGGCAGGAGGAAACUUGAUAUAAAUUUUAGCGGAGAAACACACUAUAUGAAGAUUUCAUAUAUCUAAAAU